This is a long non-coding RNA of Esox lucius (northern pike), 240 nucleotides long. RefSeq lists it as uncharacterized. The transcript is spliced from 3 exons. The record is from RefSeq and is a predicted model, not a curated record. Lineage: Eukaryota; Metazoa; Chordata; Actinopteri; Esociformes; Esocidae.
UUAAAAGACAAAGGAAGCGUCAGAUCCAUGCAAAUGAGGUGGAUGUAAUCCAAGUGGUCCAGACAGAGACAGAGGACGGCACGAAAGAUGCAGCACUGAAUUUAGAGGGAGUCUCUCACCUGUGCAGCACAGAGACAACACUUAGAGCAGACCACUCGCACGCCAUCACUUCCUGCUGACUGUCGGUGCCCGUCCUCUGCACCAGUCCGUACAGCUUGGGCCCAUUCUGGGGCUGCGGCG